AGAGCCCCAAAUCUUGAGGUUCUAAAUCUCGAAAGUUGUAUAAGUUUGUUUAAGGUUCCGCAAUCUAUUCAAUAUCUGAGGAAGCUUACUUUUUUUAAUUUAAAUGACUGCAAAGAACUCCGUAGUCUUCCAAGCAUUCCUUCCACAAAUCUUGAAGUUUUGUGUCUCAGGAAUUGCUCAAAAAUCAGAGACUUUCCAGAGAUAUCACGGAAUUUAAAACGGCUAGUAUUAAGUGGG
Molecule: unclassified non-coding RNA, 237 nt
Filed under: Hevea brasiliensis (rubber tree)
Lineage: Eukaryota; Viridiplantae; Streptophyta; Magnoliopsida; Malpighiales; Euphorbiaceae
Source: RNAcentral